UGGUGGAGUGAUUUGUCUGGUUAAUUCCGUUAACGAACGAGACCCCUGCCUGUUAAAUAGUCCCUUCUGUGAAUUUCACUGUUGAGGACUUCUUAGAGGGACGUGCAUUCUAUUAGAUGCAGGAAGAUAGGGGCAAUAACA
RNAcentral lists this ribosomal RNA (141 nucleotides) under uncultured eukaryote. RNAcentral's name for it is "partial 18S ribosomal RNA". It matches the Rfam family "Eukaryotic small subunit ribosomal RNA", at positions 1299 to 1458 of the family's 1831-position model. The record is from RNAcentral.